UGGGGAAUAUUGCACAAUGGAGGAAACUCUGAUGCAGCAACGCCGCGUGAAGGAUGAAGGUUUUCGGAUUGUAAACUUCUUUGAUUGGGGACGAAUAAUGACGGUACCCAAGGAACAAGCCACGGCUAACUACGUGCCAGCAGCCGCGGUAAUACGUAGGUGGCGAGCGUUGUCCGGAAUUACUGGGUGUAAAGGGCGUGUAGGCGGGAAAGCAAGUCAGAUGUGAAAUUCCGAGGCUUGACUUCGGAGCUGCAUCUGAAACUGUUUUUCUUGAGUGCUGGAGAGGAAAGCGGAAUUCCUAGUGUAGCGGUGAAAUGCGUAGAUAUUAGGAGGAACACCAGUGGCGAAUGCGGCUUUCUGGACAGUAACUGACGCUGAGGCGCGAAAGCGUGGGGAGCAAACA
RNAcentral lists this ribosomal RNA (403 nucleotides) under uncultured bacterium. RNAcentral describes it as "bacterial SSU rRNA". It matches the Rfam family "Bacterial small subunit ribosomal RNA", at positions 355 to 774 of the family's 1533-position model. The record is from RNAcentral.